AGAUCGAACUGAAGAGUUUGAUCCUGGCUCAGAUUGAACGCUGGCGGCAUGCCUUACACAUGCAAGUCGAACGGCAGCACGGGAGCAAUCCUGGUGGCGAGUGGCGAACGGGUGAGUAAUACAUCGGAACGUGCCCAGUUGUGGGGGAUAGCCCGGCGAAAGCCGGAUUAAUACCGCAUACGACCUACGGGUGAAAGCGGGGGAUCGCAAGACCUCGCGCAAUUGGAGCGGCCGAUGUCAGAUUAGCUAGUUGGUGGGGUAAAGGCCUACCAAGGCGACGAUCUGUAGCUGGUCUGAGAGGACGACCAGCCACACUGGGACUGAGACACGGCCCAGACUCCUACGGGAGGCAGCAGUGGGGAAUUUUGGACAAUGGGCGCAAGCCUGAUCCAGCCAUGCCGCGUGCGGGAAGAAGGCCUUCGGGUUGUAAACCGCUUUUGUCAGGGAAGAAACGGUCUGGUCUAAUAAACCGGACUAAUGACGGUACCUGAAGAAUAAGCACCGGCUAACUACGUGCCAGCAGCCGCGGUAAUACGUAGGGUGCAAGCGUUAA
Molecule: ribosomal RNA, 553 nt
Filed under: Betaproteobacteria bacterium
Lineage: Bacteria; Pseudomonadati; Pseudomonadota; Betaproteobacteria
Description: bacterial SSU rRNA
Rfam family: Bacterial small subunit ribosomal RNA
Source: RNAcentral